UACGGAGGGUGCGAGCGUUGUCCGGAUUUAUUGGGUUUAAAGGGUGCGUAGGCGGCCCGUUAAGUCAGCGGUGAAAGUCUGUGGCUCAACCAUGGAACUGCCGUUGAUACUGGCGGGCUUGAGUGCCGGUGGGGUACAUGGAAUUGGUGGUGUAGCGGUGAAAUGCAUAGAUACCAUCAGGAACACCGAUAGCGUAGGCAUUGUACUUACCGGCAACUGACGCUGAGGCACGAAAGCGCGGGUAUCGAACAGG
This 253-nucleotide ribosomal RNA is filed under the name uncultured bacterium. Its description in RNAcentral is "partial 16S ribosomal RNA". It matches the Rfam family "Bacterial small subunit ribosomal RNA", at positions 524 to 776 of the family's 1533-position model. The record is from RNAcentral.